GACGAACGCUGGCGGCGUGCUUAACACAUGCAAGUCGAACGGAAAGGCCCUGCUUUUGUGGGGUGCUCGAGUGGCGAACGGGUGAGUAACACGUGAGUAACCUGCCCUUGACUUUGGGAUAACUUCAGGAAACUGGGGCUAAUACCGGAUAGGAGCUCCUGCUGCAUGGUGGGGGUUGGAAAGUUUCGGCGGUUGGGGAUGGACUCGCGGCUUAUCAGCUUGUUGGUGGGGUAGUGGCUUACCAAGGCUUUGACGGGUAGCCGGCCUGAGAGGGUGACCGGCCACAUUGGGACUGAGAUACGGCCCAGACUCCUACGGGAGGAAGCAGUGGGGAAUAUUGCACAAUGGGCGGAAGCCUGAUGCAGCAACGCCGCGUGCGGGAUGACGGACUUCGGGUUGUAAAACGCUUUCGCCUGUGACGAAGCGUGAGUGACGGUAAUGGGUAAAGAAGCACCGGCUAACUACGUG
Molecule: ribosomal RNA, 468 nt
Filed under: uncultured bacterium
Lineage: Bacteria
Description: partial 16S ribosomal RNA
Rfam family: Bacterial small subunit ribosomal RNA
Source: RNAcentral